GUGAAUUAUGCUAUAUAUUCAUGAUCUUUGGUUACAUCUUCUGACAUUUGACUCUGACUUCCCUUGAACUGAAUAUUAAUGUGAGUAUUGUUACAUUGUAUGCGUUUACUUUUCUGCAUUUGCUACAGUUUCUUGUGUACAAUUCGGUGUUUAGUUUGGCUGUUCAUUAUCACUGAACUAGUAUAUAUAUUUUUUUUAGGGGCCAGCUGAAGAACGCCUCAGUGUGCGGGAAUUUCUCGCUGCAUUGGAGACCUGUUGGUGACCUUCUGCUGUUGUCUUUUCUAUGGUCGGGUUGUUGUCUCUUUGGCACAUUCCCUAUUUCCAUUCUCAAUUUUAUGAUCAAUGAACUAUGACUAAUAGUGCCAAAAAAUCUUGUCAAAAUGAGAAAGAAAUCAAUGACUGAUCAUAAUUUAGUCCCCUUAAACUGACCUAAACACAAACUUUAACAUGAAAAUUAUCAACAAUUCAACUAGCCAUGAUAUAGAGGACAUGAUCAUCUAAUCUCAAAUUUGAGGAAAUCAUAUGUGAUGCAACUGUAUACCAAAUAUUAAUAAUUUACUUCCCAUUUGUGGUUCAUCUUGACAUAAUCAUGAUAAUCAACAAGAAUGUGUCCAUAGUACAAGGAUGCCCCAAUCACACUUUCUUUUUUAAUGUUUAGUGGACCAUGAAAUUAGGGUUAAAACUCUCAAUUGAUUGUACUUCAACUUAAUCAAAAACUACCUUGACCAAAAACUUUAACCUGAAGCUGGACAGACGAAAGGAGUCACAGAC
This 771-nucleotide long non-coding RNA is filed under the name Mytilus galloprovincialis (Mediterranean mussel). Lineage: Eukaryota; Metazoa; Mollusca; Bivalvia; Mytilida; Mytilidae. The record is from RNAcentral.